UACGAAGGGUGCAAGCGUUACUCGGAAUUACUGGGCGUAAAGCGUGCGUAGGUGGUUCGUUAAGUCUGCUGUGAAAGCCCCGGGCUCAACCUGGGAAUGGCAGUGGAUACUGGCGAGCUGGAGUGCGGUAGAGGGUAGUGGAAUUCCCGGUGUAGCGGUGAAAUGCGUAGAGAUCGGGAGGAACACCAGUGGCGAAGGCGGCUACCUGGACCAGCACUGACACUCAGGCACGAAAGCGUGGGGAGCAAAC
RNAcentral lists this ribosomal RNA (250 nucleotides) under uncultured bacterium. RNAcentral describes it as "partial 16S ribosomal RNA". It matches the Rfam family "Bacterial small subunit ribosomal RNA", at positions 524 to 773 of the family's 1533-position model. The record is from RNAcentral.